CAGUCGCCGCGGGAAUACGGGGGGUGCAAGCGUUAAUCGGAAUUACUGGGCGUAAAGCGCACGCAGGCGGUUUGUUAAGUCGGAUGUGAAAUCCCCGAGCUCAACUUGGGAACUGCAUUUGAAACUGGCAAGCUAGAGUCUUGUAGAGGGGGGUAGAAUUCCAGGUGUAGCGGUGAAAUGCGUAGAGAUCUGGAGGAAUACCGGUGGCGAAGGCGGCCCCCUGGACAAAGACUGACGCUCAGGUGCGAAAGCGUGGGGAGCAAACAGGAUUAGAUACCCGUGUAGUCCCUGUCUCUUAUAU
Molecule: ribosomal RNA, 301 nt
Filed under: uncultured bacterium
Lineage: Bacteria
Description: partial 16S ribosomal RNA
Rfam family: Bacterial small subunit ribosomal RNA
Source: RNAcentral